UAUUUUAUUAUUGAUCAUGCACAGCAAUGUAAACAAUGAGAUGUAAACAACAGUGAACUACUUGAACUGUUGACCUAUAUUUUUUUUUCAAAACAACUCACAGAUGUAAAUAUUUAAAAUUUUUUACACACCUGAAUACUACAAUGAAUGUUUAUAAACAUGGAAAUUUGUUUACUAUGGUACUUCAAUACUACACUCAAGACUAUUUAUAGUAGUCUUAUGCAAGGUCAACCUUGAACUGGAUUGACAUGUCUCUGAAUUUUUUUUCCUUUUGAUGAUGGCAAAACUUAGUAUGAUAUAUUGACACAACACAUCAGUAUUGUAAAUAAAUAUGAAAUUUUUUUCUGUAUUCAUUUUAAGUAAAUUUACUCAGUGUGUCAAAUGAUACACAUUGAUAAUGUUGUACAUCUAUAAUUAUAGUAAAACAUUGGAUGUGGAAUAACUUGUAUAUUUUUUCCUUUUUUAUAUUGAUUAGCAUGUGAUUGUUUGUACAAAAAAAUUUUUUCUUUCAGUACAAAUGUAUGCAUAAAGCUUGUAAACACUUGAUGGAGGUACUUUUCAUUACAAUUAGUGUGACAUUUCAGUGAUUUUGCUCUCAGUGAAUUAAGUAUAUAAAUGAUUAUACAUUUUGGACUCAGUAAUUUAUAUGAUGUUAUACAUAAUUACUAAGAUUAUAUAAGAUGAUAUGAGCAAUUGAAGUGAACUUACAGCACUUCAUGGAAUAAGGUACUAAGCUCAUAUAUAUAUUUUUACAGUGAUAUUGAUGUUAAAUAUACUUGUCAAAGAUUUUUGGACAAAAAUCUUUUUGGAGUGUGGGGCGUAUGUCACAGUCCAGUUUUAGAACCUCUGUGACAUGAAGUGACACUCAGUCACCUAUUGUAAUAUUCCGUGCGGGCAAGCACGAGGUUAUGUGAAUAAGUUAAAGGACUCUGAAAUAAGGGUCAAUGUUAGACAGUUAGUAAAGAACUCCAGCAGAGAGUGGAUGUACGAUUUUCUCUGUCUGUAAUAUGUACCUUAAUGAAUUUGAUCUUAUGUUAACUUGAGAGAUUUCUUCGGACUUAUAUUGUGAACAUUUUAUUGAUGUGAUUGCUUGUUCUACAUGGCAUGAGCAGCCAGUAUUUAUUGGUCUAUAUUUUGUGACGGCUGAAGUCGCCAAUAUCUUUUGUAAUUUAUCUAUAUAUAUAAUAAAUUUCACGUCUGCUACCAGUGUGUUUAUCAGUAAUUCUAAAUGUUGUCGUUGGAGACUUUAGUAUACUAGUAUUGUUGCGCACUUGCAAAUCCAGUGCGUCUAAUAAAGUACAUCGUUAAGAGGAGUAUUAUAGCCGUACCAGAAGAGGUACCUACAACACACGGACACAUCCACGUCGCCACGCCUACAGCCAAAACCAGGUAGCGACAGUCAGGCUUUAUGCCUUGUGCACUAAUGCAGUGUCCCAUGAAACUUAUCUGGUCUUGUUUCUAUACUGUUUUCGUUUCAUUUGAUUUAAUGUGUUUCUCUCUUAAUCUCUUCAGUUUGUCAGAGUGAUCUUUUUCUGCUUCUUCUUUGAACUGACCACAUCCCACAAUCACGAUAUCAUCAGCCACAUUAAUGCAUCCUUCUAAUCCUAACAAUGCUGUUAACUUCUUCUGGAAUAUUUCUCCACUUACACUUAGUCCAAAAGGAAGUCUUGACCAUCUGUACCGCCCAUAUGGUGUGAUCAUGGUUGUUAGUAGACUAGACUUUUCAUCUAGACGUACAUGCCAGUAAGCCUCCUUUACGUCCAAUUUAGAAAAUAUUUUAGCAUUUAGGAACUGUGGCAUUACAGCUUCCAAAGUUGGUAACUUAAAAUGUUCUCUUUUUAAAGCAGUGUUUAGAUGUCUUGGGUCAAUGCAGAUCCUUAAAUCCCCAUUUGGCUUUUGAACCACAGCCAUCUGGCUGACCCAAUCUGUUGGCUCAUUUACAGGAAUUAAUAUUUUCCUUUUUACUAAUGUCUCUAUUUCUGCUUCCACUUUCUUUUGAAAUGCAAAUGGUAUAUUACGACAAGGUGAUACCACCGGAGCUAUGUUCUCAUUGAUAGUUAAUGAUGUUUCACCUAAAUCUCCCAGAUGACGAUCCAUUGUAAUAGUCGUGUAAUUUCUUUAGUAAAAUUUGCGGGUCAUUUACGUCUUCAUUCUCAUCAUGCUGCAACUGCUCACAAAUCUCUUGGGCCUGAGGUCCAGCACAAUGUAAUAUUAUUGCUUUUUGUCUGAUUUUAGGUUUUUCUUCAGCUUCUAUUGCUAACAGUAACAGUUCCACUUGUCUUCUCCAUUGGCGAAAGUUUUCACUGACAUUACCUUCAGUCACUUUUAACUCUGUUGGUGGUUUAAGUAGACCUUCUGCCAUCUUCCACAAAAACUUCACUAUAGUAUAUCUACCGUAACUGAAUAACCCCGAGCCUCUCUAUAUAUAUUUAAUAAUAUUCUAGACUGAGACUCUGGAAUCUACUAGAUUCUAGAUCUACACUUUAGAUCUAUUUUUUUUUUUUUUAAAUUUAACUAGAUUUAUAUCACUGAUAUAAAUCUAAAUAUAGUUCUUGUUACCGCUGCCACCAUGUUGAUUAUUAUGAACAAAUAAUAACAAGACUCUGGAUAUAACUUAUAAGACUUGAAAUCAGCUGUUUAAUCUAAUGCCAUAUUGGUUGACAACAACAGUUACAAAGGAUGUUACUCCCAAACACCGAUUGGUGCAACCUAUAUAAAACACACAUCAACAGUAACUAUAAUAUAUUUGUAAAGUUAACAAUAGCUCUAAUAUAAGUGUUUGUAUAAAAUUAUGCAAUGACAUUUUAACAUGAGUUGUAAAUUGUUUUUUUUUAAGGCCCCUUUAUAUGUUGACCUAACAAAGUCAAAAUUGCCAAGGAGAGUUGAGUAAAUAGAAGCGCAAAAGUUUCAUUUAUUAACUUUUAAAGCAAUAACACAGUUGAAUGUUCAAGUAUCCACCUGACUGAUGAAUGUUCAAGUAUCCACCAGACUGAUGAAUGUUCAAGUAUCCACCAGACAGAUGAAUGUUCAAGUAUCCACCAGAUAGAUGAAUGUUCAAGUAUCCACCAGACAGUUGAAUGUUCACGUAUCCACUAGACAGAUGAAUGUUCAAGUAUCCACCAGACAGUUGAAUGUGCAAGUAUCCACUAGACAGAUGAAUGUUCAAGUAUCCACCAUUUCAUUAAUUAUCAUAUUUCUCUUUUAGGAAAAUGUUUCUGUUUUCACUUUAUUUUAUUUUGUACCAGUCUAGUAUUUUGUACCAUUAAAAAUUUAUAUUUCAUGUUAGUAAAAAAGAUGUUUGAAAUUUUGUUUCAAAAUUUAUAAAAAAAAUCUAUAUAUAUAUAUUAAAAUAGUAAUUUACUCAACCUUGGAAUCCUAUCACUGAACUGGGAAAGCUAGCUUUGAUUGUUUUUGUUGUUGUAAAUAUAUAUGGCUCCUUUUGUCUCGAAAGGCAAUGGAUGCGCCCAAGUGAGUCACUGGUUUUGGCUUAAUCUUGAGACGGGGCAGAAUCUGGUGUGGCUAAUCAAGCCAAUUCUAGAACGGCAGACUUUGCCACAAUUCGUACAUUUGUAUGCCUCUGAUUUAGGGCUAGCAGACAGGGCAGCUUUCUUUUUUUCCCUCUUGAUUAAAGCCGCUUCAAUUCUUUUGUUCUCAGCAAGGGUUGUCCCAGCACGCACAGUCUGUCUCCAUGCACUCCGGUCUUUGGCUAUGUUUUCCCACAUACUUUCACUGAUGCCUGAGGCUCUCAUGUCUCGCUUGCAGACAUCUCUAUAUGUUAGUCUUGGGCGGCCCUUGGGUCUGACUCCUUCCACAAGUAAAUAUCCAUAUGGAUAGUGUGUAUAUUAUGCAAAGGUUGAUUAUUUAUUAGCUGUUAAGGUUGGAGUUUUCCUUUUUUUUUAUUUUUACAUGAUUUCAAUGUUAAAUACCACUGUAGUUGUCUUUCUGAUAAUGAUGCUAUGAUGUGGUCUUGGUAUAUUUUUUCUGUGAUUAGAUGUUGUAACAUAUAGAUAUUGACAAUGUAAAAAGUUUAUAUACAACCAAGUUCAUACAUUAAUCUAUUUCACAAUCAUACAAACUAUAAACUGCGUAAAGCUUUUUGUUAUUAUUAAAAAUAUAAACUGUAAAGUAUUGGAUACUAAAAUGCAUUUUAAUUGAUUCUUCCCGAGCUAUAGUUUAUUGCAUCUUCAUUUUGUGUGUGCACAAUCUAUUGAAUUAAUAAUGUAAUUUUUUGUGAGAUGAUUUGUGUUGGUCACAUGUAUAUGUCAUUAGUUUCUAUCAUGAUUUUUUUAAAAGUAUUUGUGUAAAACCAGAGAGGUUUCAUUAAAUUUGUACUUUAUUAAUUUUUUAUUUUACAUUUUUGUUUAGUUUUAAUUUUACUUACAAGCUGAAUUUGUAUACAUAGCUAUGAUUUGAUGGAAUUCUUCUUUUUAUAAAAUUUUACAUGGUCUAAGGUUUUUGAGUUCAUUGAAGCUUUUUUCAAAACUCUGAAGAGUUGAACUGAAGGCUUGUAAAACUAUAGGCCAGCAAAAAAUAAAAGCUUCCUCUCACCAGCCUGACUGAAAUGAUUGUUCUGUCUGGAAGAGAUCCUAAUUGAUGUCUGUAUCACACUACUAUUUCCAAUGCUUCAGAAGCUCCAGACACGGGGGCUAGAGAUUGGCAGACUGCUAAGCACACCAAGAACUCCUGCCAUCUUCCUGCUCUUUACCACACUCAACAAUCCCCAUUCCAUUUGUGAAACAGAAUGUUGGGAUUGUUGACAUGGUCAUAAAGACUCUCUUCCCAACCAAGACUUGAGCAAUGCUUUUCCAUUCCUAAUGAAGUCUUGUUUUCUUACUUCCUUGAAGCCUAAUUGUUUUGACCCAGGGGUGGGGGGGCACUAUGUUGUAGACUGGGAUGUUUGCUUUCUGACAGCAUUGUAGAAUAAUUAUAUUGUAAUAAAAUAUUUUUCAAAUAAAAAAAUUAAAUGAAACAAAACCUACAUCUUGGCUAUUAAAAUCCAGGUUAAUACUGCUAUUUGUUAUAUAAUGUAUGUGUCACUGUCAUGAGAUGUAUACAUUGGAUGCUUACAUAAACAUUGGUUUUGUGAAACAUCAGUCAAUUGUAUUUAUGACCCUACUCUAAAUGGCCUAGAAUGUUGAACAUAAGAGUACCAGUUCAAUGUUAGAGAAAAUAAUAGUAAGUAGGGGAGACAAUAAAAGAGUUUUAAUAUGUUC
This is a long non-coding RNA of Biomphalaria glabrata, 5213 nucleotides long. RefSeq lists it as uncharacterized. The transcript is spliced from 2 exons. Lineage: Eukaryota; Metazoa; Mollusca; Gastropoda; Planorbidae. The record is from RefSeq and is a predicted model, not a curated record.